CAUAUAUAGCGCUCUCCUCACUUCGCCUCGAAACCUCCCAAAACCCUAACCCUAAUGGCGAUAAAACAACCACCGCCUCCUCCAUCGCCGCCCCCUUCCUCAUCUGAGGAAGAAGAGGAAUCCUCUUCCGGCGAAGAUGAAGAAACCAUUACCAAGAGCCCCAACAGCCAAACUCCAACCAGGAACCAAGAACAAGAAGAAGAAACCGACGAAGAGAGCGAAUCCGGCUCCAGCGACGACGAAGACGAUGACGAAGAGGAUGAGGAUCCCCCGUCGGAUAGGAGGCCCCAGUCCAUCUCCACAGCGGCGUCUUUGCCCCUCAAACCCUUCGACGCUGGCGAUAAGUCAAACGGAAAGGGCAACGCCAACGGCAAGGCCUUGUUCCAGCGAAUCUGGAGCCUCGAGGAUGAGAUCGCAAUCCUCGAAGGAAUGAUGGAAUUCGAGCCCGAACGCGGUCCCAUCAAGCUCAACGCUGCGGGGAUUCGAGACUUCCAUGAAUUUGUGAAAGGUUCGUUGAGCCUCGAGGUUAGCGGUUCCCAGCUCCUGGAGAAGAUUAAGAGGCUCAAGAAGAAGUACGAGUCCAUUGCUGCCCGUGCGAAUAACGGGAAAGCAGUCAAGUUUGGGAAACCACACGAUAAGAAAGUGUAUGAGCUCUCGAUGGAAGUUUGGGGGAUGGGGAAUAACAAUGUGGCUAAUGAUGCAGGAGGGAGUUUGAAGAGGGAGUAUCCGUUCAUUAAGGAUGCCAUGUUGGAUGUGAGGUGUUGCAUCUCAGCGGAGCUCUUGGAGACGCUUGACCCAGAAAAGGUGAGGCCUCUGGAGAGGGAGUUUAAGAAGCAAAAAGUGCUGGAGAUCAAGAACAGAAUUCGCAGGAUAGACUUAAUGAAGCAAGCCCUUCAGCGGGUACUGGAGGAUGUAGAGAACAUGGCGGAUUGUAUCUGGGGAGUCUGAUGAACCUCGUAUUCUUACAAAAGAUCCAGAAGGGCUUUCAUAUUUUCUUCUCCAUCAAGGAAUUACACGGACAGGGUACCGAGUUGCAUGGCAAGAUGUUCUUGGUUGUCGCCUGCUUGUGGAUGAACUAGUGUAGGUUUGUUCGUAUAGAACCUCUAAAUAUGCACUUCCUUGUAGGAUUUUGUUCAGUGGUGUUGCUAGUUCUGGAUUUUUUUACCAUUUUUUUAAAAAUAUUUCGAACUCCUAACUUUUUAAUGUUUACUCAUUUUUAUAUUUCUGAUUCCCAACUUUUGUGGAAUUUUGUUCAGUGGUGUUACUGAUUGUUUUGUUCAGUGGUGUUACUAGUUUUUGUAUAACAUUACCAAAAUGUCAAAUCAUGGACUUCAUUUUCCAAA
Asparagus officinalis (garden asparagus) is the source of this 1343-nucleotide RNA transcript. It is a transcript of the gene named probable transcription factor At1g11510, with no coding region annotated. The transcript is spliced from 3 exons. The record is from RefSeq and is a predicted model, not a curated record. Lineage: Eukaryota; Viridiplantae; Streptophyta; Magnoliopsida; Asparagales; Asparagaceae.